GGAAUGACUCUCGGCAACGGAUAUCUCGGCUCUCGCAUCGAUGAAGAACGUAGCGAAAUGCGAUACGUGGUGUGAAUUGCAGAAUCCCGUGAACCAUCGAGUUUUUGAACGCAAGUUGCGCCCGAGGCCAUUUGGCUGAGGGCACGCCUGCCUGGGCGUCAGUU
This 164-nucleotide ribosomal RNA is filed under the name Juncus decipiens. RNAcentral's name for it is "5.8S ribosomal RNA". It matches the Rfam family "5.8S ribosomal RNA". Rfam says of the family: 5.8S ribosomal RNA (5.8S rRNA) is a component of the large subunit of the eukaryotic ribosome. It is transcribed by RNA polymerase I as part of the 45S precursor that also contains 18S and 28S rRNA. The record is from RNAcentral. Lineage: Eukaryota; Viridiplantae; Streptophyta; Magnoliopsida; Poales; Juncaceae.